GACGAACGCUGGCGGCGUGCCUUAGACAUGCAAGUCGAACGGAGUAGCAAUACUCAGUGGCGAACGGCGGAGUAAUGCAUAAGCAACGUGCCCCAAAGACUGGGAUAGUCGAGGGAAACCACGGGUAAUACCAGAUGUGGUCCUUAGAUGGCAUCAUCGAGGGAUUAAAUCGAGCAAUCGGCUUUGGGAGCGGCUUAUGUCCUAUCAGCUUGUUGGUGAGGUAACGGCUCACCAAGGCUACGACGGGUAGGGGGUCUGAGAGGAUGAUCCCCCCGAGUGGGACUGCGACACGGCCCACACACCUACGGGUGGCAGCAGUUUGGAAUAUUGCACAAUGGGGGAAACCCUGAUGCAGCGACGCCGCGUGGAGGACGAAGGAUCUAGGUCUGUAAACUCCUUUUGCCAGGAAAGACUUAGGACGGUACCUGGCGAAUAAGCCCCGGCUAACUACGUGCCAGCAGCCGCGGUAAGACGUAGGGGGCGAGCGUUGUCCGGAUUUACUGGGCGUAAAGAGCGCGUAGGCGGCUAGUUAAGUGAGAAGUGAAAUCUCCAGGGCUCAACCCGGAAACUGCUUUUCAUACUGGCCAGCUGGAGGGACGCAGGGGUGACUGGAAUUCCCGGUGUAGCGGUGAAAUGCAUUGAUAUCGGGAGGAACUCCAACAGCGAAGGCAGGUCACUGGGCGUUUCCUGACGCUGAGGCGCGAAAGCGUGGGUAGCAAACAGGAUUAGAUACCCUGGUAGUCCACGCCCUAAACGAUGGAUACUAGACGUAAGAGGUAUCGACCCCUCUUGUGUCGCAGCUAACGCAUUAAGUAUCCCGCCUGGGGUAGUACGGGCCGCAAAGUUGAAACUCAAAUGAAUUGACGGGGACCCGCACAAGCGGUGGAGCAUGUGGAUUAAUUCGAUACUAACCGAAGAACCUUACCCAGGUUUGACAUCGAUGGUAAGCCCGAGAGAUCGGGCCCUCUCUCACAAGGAGACCUGAAGACAGAUGUUGCAUGGCUGUCGUCAGCUCGUGCCGUGAGGUGUACGGUUAAGUCCGCCAACGAGCGCAACCCUCGUCCUAUGUUGCCAGCGAGUAAUGUCGGGAACUCAUAGGAGACCGCCGGUGUAAGCCGGAGGAAGGUGGGGAUGAUGUCAAGUCAGCAUGGCUCUUACGCCUGGGGCUUCACACAUGCUACAAUGGGCGCAACAAAGGGCACCGAAGCCGUGAGGUGGAGGCAAUCCCAAAAAUACGCCCCCAGUUCAGAUUGCAGUCUGCAACUCGACUGCAUGAAGGCGGAAUCGCUAGUAAACGCAGGUCAGCUAUACUGCGUUGAAUACGUUCCCGGGUCUUGUACACACCGCCCGUCAAGUCACCUGAAUUGUCUUCACCCGAAGUCCGUGGCCUAACCGUAAGGAGGGAGCGGCCGAAGGUGAGGGGAGUAAGGGGGACUA
Molecule: ribosomal RNA, 1437 nt
Filed under: uncultured anaerobic ammonium-oxidizing bacterium
Lineage: Bacteria
Description: bacterial SSU rRNA
Rfam family: Bacterial small subunit ribosomal RNA
Source: RNAcentral